Molecule: ribosomal RNA, 292 nt
Filed under: uncultured bacterium
Lineage: Bacteria
Description: partial 16S ribosomal RNA
Source: RNAcentral
GGACUACUGGGGUUUCUAAUCCCGUUCGCUCCCCUGGCUUUCGUCCAUGAGCGUCAGUGACUUCCCAGGAGACUGCCUGCGCCUUUGGUGUUCCUCCGGAUCUCUACGCAUUUCACCACUCCACCCGGAAUUCCGUCUCCCUCUGAAGCCCUCAAGUCACCCAGUUUUCAUGAACCUGGCUGAGUUAAGCUCAACCCUGUCACCAUGAACUUGAGCGACCGCCUGCGGACCCUUUACGCCCAGUAACUCCGGACAACGCUCGCCCCCUACGUAUUACCGCGGCUGCUGGCAC